UAAUACGUAGGUGGCAAGCGUUGUCCGGAUUUACUGGGCGUAAAGCGUAUGCAGGCGGAUGCCUAAGUAGGAAGUGAAAGGUUGGAGCUCAACUCUAACACUGCUCCCUAUACUGGGUGUCUUGAGUGCCGGAGAGGAAGACGGAACUGCACGUGUAGCGGUGAAAUGCGUUGAGAUGUGCAGGAACACCAAUGGCGAAAGCAGUCUUCUGGACGGAUACUGACGCUGAGAUACGAAAGCCAAGGGAGCGAACAGGAUUAGAUACCCUGGUAGUCUUGGCCAUAAACGAUGUUCACUAGGUGUCGGGGUUUUACCUCGGUGCCGCAGCUAACGCAUUAAGUGAACCGCCUGGGAACUACGGCCGCAAGGUUG
RNAcentral lists this ribosomal RNA (372 nucleotides) under uncultured bacterium. RNAcentral's name for it is "bacterial SSU rRNA". It matches the Rfam family "Bacterial small subunit ribosomal RNA", at positions 521 to 896 of the family's 1533-position model. The record is from RNAcentral.